Molecule: non-coding RNA, 692 nt
Organism: Paramuricea clavata
Lineage: Eukaryota; Metazoa; Cnidaria; Anthozoa; Malacalcyonacea; Plexauridae
Source: the annotation of a GenBank genome assembly
CAUUGACUGACCGUGGACCGACAGAUUGACAGAAUAUAGGAUGCAAUUUGACUAUGCCGCGUUUACAGCCCGCAUGGAUUUCUCCGUCGAUGAUUGGUUAAUGGCUGGAAUGACGUUAGUUAUACUAUAAUUAGGAAGUUUGUAACAAAGACCCACAUCCUGUAUAACACUUCUCGCUAGACGAUUUAUGAAAAGGGUAAAGUGUGACAGGACGUGAGUGUAUUGCUAGAGGAUUAACACGAAAAGAGCAAAAUAUUUUGCUAGAUUUAAAACCUGAAUCAGUCUAAACGAUUAUAAUAUUAUCUAUUAAGAAUUAAUUAAAGUAAAUAAUAAAAUGGUAUUAUUCAACUUUCUGUUGCAGGACUUGGGUUAAGUCAAGAUUUUUGGCAGUGGCUAUUCUGAAGGUUGUGUCAUUAUUACUAGUCAACCUUUGGUAAAAUAAGUAAAGUUUUACUUGCGAUGGGAAACAUUAUAUUUCCAGCCCCUUGGCAUCCACCAAGAUUUGAUAAUGCAAAUAAACUGUUCGUUGUUUUGCGCUAUGGAUUAGAUUGCUUACACUAAACUGUUAAUAUUUGCUUAACUUGAAAGUUGCACAAAAUAAUGCAGAUUUCUGUAACUGUAUAGCUACUGAUAUGAGAUAAUAUGAAAAUUGGUUUUGUUAAUCAAAAUGUAUUAAAUGGUAUAUAGUUUCA